Molecule: long non-coding RNA, 2999 nt
Filed under: Pan troglodytes (chimpanzee)
Lineage: Eukaryota; Metazoa; Chordata; Mammalia; Primates; Hominidae
Description: lincRNA
Source: RNAcentral
GUUUCCCCCUGAGGGAAGUAUACCUGUCCUGCCAGCCUUGGUCUCUGGCAGGGAAGGUCCUUCCAACAGAGAGGGAAUUGCUUAGAAUUGACUCAACACUGCCUCCUUGCUGAAUGGAUAAUUCAAGCAAACAACUCAAGAGCUGGAUGCUGCCCAGACAGGUAGGCAGCCAGAUAAAGUGAGUGUCCAGGGAAAGAGCAGUAAGGGUCAGAAGAGAAAGAGGCUGGUGUUCUCACUGCCUCCUGCCUUCCUUAUGACUGUCUGUUCAGAAGUCCUCCUAGCAUCUUUCUUCUGCCUUCCCCUGCUCCUGUCCCUGAAACCUUUUCUUCAAAAGAAGUGGAAAAGAGGAACUGGGAACCCAUAUAGCAACAGCAUCACCUGGAAUGAAUUCCUUUAGAACAUACUGUCUUGGAAAUCUGAAGCCUGCAGGGCUGGACAGGCAAGAAGAGCAGUGAGCACUGCAUGAACCUGCGUGUACUCCGAAAUAUUUUUCAAAUGGAAAAGAAAACAGAGAACACAAUUUUCAAAAUAUCUAGAGCCCUCCAAGAAGUCUUUGUAGAGAUCUAUAAAAUCUCAAGGCAAUUUAAAGAAUAGAAAAAUGUUUUAGAAACACUAUUCUCUCCACAUCCUGGGGCAGCAGCCUUCUCCAAAGAAACAGAAAGAAGGAAAUGGAUUGCCUUAGCAAAAAAACAAAUGAAGACACUCCAAAUAACAGAAGAAUGGGAAGGCUACAGACCUUGAAGUCAGAAGAAAAUUUCCUCUCCUUGCCCCGUUUCUCCUUAAAUGGAUCAUCAGUACAGUCUCUUACUUCUAGAGCCAUGUUAAGCUUUCUUCCCCAAAGUUGUAAUGUCCUUCUUUUGGUUGUGUCGUGUCCUAAAAUCCUACUCUUUGGUACAAGAUGAAGGUAUAUGAAGAGAUAAUGAAGGAAACAAAUUCAAUGUGUUUGCCAAGAACACAGUCUUUUAAAUAACUCUUAAAGGGUUCGUUUAAAACAGUGUAAUAAAUUGUGGUAAUCUAGUACACAAAGCUAGUAGGAACCUCGUUUAUUAAUAAUAUUUCAACAUUGAGCAGUAGAGGGCAGCACUGUCCUUCUUUUGCAAAAUGUUGAGCACUCUUGAGAAGGAAAAUAAAGGCAAAGCUCCUGACCCCUGUGUCUGUGUUUACUUUUAUCAUUAAAAAAAAAACAAAAAAUUGGAGUAUUUUUAUUAUGGUUUAGGUGAUUAUGUAUAAAGAAUGUCAGAGCCUGGAUUGCCUGGAAGUGGUGCACCAGGUAAUGCAAAAAACACGGAAGGUUUGAGGUCCCCCACUCAGGAUAUGGGUUCUGUCUAGUAAAGAUAAACAGUAGCUUGACCCUGGGUAAUCAGAUAGGGUUAUUGUAUGAACAGACCUAAUGCUCCUGCACGUUCUGGAUAGAAGUCAAUCUACUGAAAUAGCAGGAUGUGGUUUUAAAAAAUGUGUGUAACUCAUAUAGUCUUAGCCCUGAUAAGUGCUUCUAAAUUCUUAUUCACUGCCUUUAUUCUGCUGUGUUAGUGUUGCUCUCUGUCAUACGUGGGUCAGGUCAGAACUAGCUCAAAUACAGUAUGUGUAUUAUGACUUUAAGGAGUGGUGUCAGACAAGAUGGGUAAAGAAUGUCUUUCAUGGGACUGCAGUUGGCUAAAUGGCUGUGUAUAAGUAGUGAAAUUGAAGCCUUGUAUGCUCGUCGUCAUUCUAUCACAGUAUGAUUUGAGUUUCCCUAACCGGUAAACAGCAAGAAAAAAUGAUCUGUUAUUUUUUACUAAAGUUACUUGAUGCUCUUUAGCAAGCUGACAGAAUAAUUCUAAUUUUAGCAAAUACAAAACCAUGGUAAUCCUAGCACAUUUGGAUUCUGUUUAACCCUGAAAACUCUUUUGGCAGCAAAUCUUCAAUGCCAAUUUAGAUAAAUCCCACUAGGAAUAAGCACUGAAAGACGUUGAGUCUAGUUCCCAGCUCUGCCAUGUGAAGUUGGGCAAAUUACAGUCUCUGAGCUUUUAUUUCAUCUGUUAAAUGGAGAUAAUACCUCCUAGAUUUAUUAAAAGGGUCAAUUUAGAAAAUAUGUAUUAAAAUGGUUUGAAAGCCAUUUAAGUACCUAAUGAAUAUUUCUAUCACUGUAGCCCAAAAAGAUUCCUGCCUAGAAGACUUUAUGUCUCUUCUCCUCAUUUGGUAUCAUUCUAUUGCCUGAGAUUGUUAAUUAACUUUUAUGUAUACUCAAUAUUUUCUCCCAACUUGGUUGCUAGUUCCUUGAGAACUGAAACCAUCAAUUGCACUUCUUGGUAUCCUCCACAACAAGGUAUCUAGGUACUCAAAUAUUUGUUGGUUGAUUAAAAACAUAAACCACAAGACAUAAUUAACUCUUUUUAAAAUUGUGGUAAAAAAACAUGUAUUUACCAUCUUAACCAUUUUUAAGUAUACUGUAUAUUAGUGUUUACUAUAUGCACAUUGUUGUGCAACACAUCCCUAGGACUUUUUCAUCCAGAAUUCUUUUUUUUUGAGACAGAGUCUUGCUGUGUCGCCCAAGCUGGAGUUCAGUGGCACCAUCCUGGCUCACUGCAACUGCUGCCUCCCAGGUUCAAGUGAUUCUCCUGCCUCAGCCUCCCGAGUAGCUGGGAUUACAUGUGCUUGCCACCACGCCUGGCAAAUUUUUGUAUUUUUAGUAGAAAUGGUGUUUUACCAUGUUGGCCAGGACUGGCCUAGAACUCCAGACCUCAAGUGAUCCACCCGCCUCAGCAUCCCAAAGUGGUGGGAUUACAGGCAUGAGCAACUGUGCCUGGCCUAGCCAUUUUCUAUAAACCUGAAAAUAGAUGCCAGAAAAGAAGGUGCCGCUAUGAAAUGCUUUCUUGAGUGAUUUAUGUCUAACAUACAAUUAAACAUUUAUGAGAAGGAAAUUAUCAGGUUAAAAUAUAAACUCACUUGCCAAUUAUUUGAUUUUCAGGAUAUCUGACUUUUGUUAAUUACUGAAAAUAAAGUAUUAUUUCUAAUCACUA